Long non-coding RNA from Lycium barbarum (goji berry), 733 nucleotides. RefSeq lists it as uncharacterized. The transcript is spliced from 2 exons. The record is from RefSeq and is a predicted model, not a curated record. NCBI's taxonomy places the organism in Eukaryota, Viridiplantae, Streptophyta, Magnoliopsida, Solanales, Solanaceae.
GCCCGUUGCGGCCCUCCGGUUGGGUCGUGACACUCUUAAAAAGUAAUUCACUCAAUCAAUUAACUCUAUAUGUUUUCCUAUCUUCAUAAGGGUUUUUUUUCCUCUGUUAAGCUUUGUUGUUCAUUGUUCUUAUCGCCCUGUUUCUGUACUACUAUGGCCACAAGCUAUAAUGGCAGUCAACCUUGGCCUCAAGAUUUAGUAACAGAGAUUCUACUGAGGUUGCCUUUGAAGUCCAUGUUGCGAUUCAAAUGCGUAAGCAAGAAAUGGUACAAAACUAUCAAGAUCCCUAGCUUCGUCAGCGAGCGGUACAAUUGGAGAAGUAAGAACAAGAUCCUCGAAUACCUGGUUUGUGAAGAUGCUGGAUGCCCCGCAGGAUGCAAGAGACGACGUAUCUUGAAUUUCGUUAUUCGAGAGUGAGGAGAAAUGAUGUCAAAGAUGGUUGUUCAAUUCAUUGUUACAAGUAAAGCUUAGUAACAGUUAAAAGAAGUGAUGGAGAGCUGGACCAUUAUAGUUUACCUGCCAUGUUUGAUUCCUCUUUUAUGCUUUACAGAAGAGUAGAUAUAUAAUAUGUUGCACACUCAGCAUGCGUAUGUAACAGUUGGUUUAACUAGUAAUUCUACCUUCUGGUUUGGAAAUGGACUUCACUUCUUUGAAUAUUUAAUUAUCUUUUUCUUGUAGCAUUUUUAAUUCGGACCUUUAAAAUUUGAAUUUAUUUUAUCUAUUUUUGGUACAA